RNA transcript from Quercus robur (English oak), 4576 nucleotides. RefSeq lists it as uncharacterized. Lineage: Eukaryota; Viridiplantae; Streptophyta; Magnoliopsida; Fagales; Fagaceae. The record is from RefSeq and is a predicted model, not a curated record. The transcript is spliced from 12 exons.
AGUAGCGAUUCUGUUUGUGUUGUGAGAGUGUAUAUAUAUCAAUAUAAAUAUGUACUAUCUUUCUUGGUGACCAAGCUACGCCCAAUAGAAGCGUCUGUUACUUUGUGAAACACAAUUUUCCUUUUAUUGCUCUCCGGAUUUUUCUCUCUGUACCCUAUUCAUCUUCUCCUCCUUCACUGAUUGGAGCACUGUUUCAAUGGCAAUGCCGGCGGCUGGUCGAAAGAGAAAGCGAAAGAGAACAUUUGCCACCAAAAGAAAGCUUUUUGUUGGUCAAAGAGUAGAGGUGAGGAGUGAGGAAGAUGGGUUUCAGGGCUCUUGGCACUCUGCCACUGUCAUUGCAUGUUAUAGUCAAGGUCGUCGUGUCAAAUACGAGAACAUCCUACAGGAUGAUGGGUCUAAAAAUUUUGAGGCUGAUGUGCCUGUUUCACCUGUAUUGGAUGGCAUUGGUUUUGCCAAUGAGAACUGUACUUAUCGUGGGUGUAUAAGGCCUUUGCCACCUCUUGUUGAGUUUAAAAAAUUUGGCCUUCCCUAUGGACUGUGUGUGGAUGUGUUUUACCAGGAGGCUUGGUGGGAAGGUGUGAUUUUUGAUCACGAUGACGGUUCACAUACAAGGAGGAUUUUCUUCCCAGAUUUGGGUGAUGAAUUGGAGAUGAGAAUUAACAUGUUGAGAAUUACUCAUGAGUGGAAUGAGGUUACGGAGAAUUGGCAGCGCCGCGGGACUUGGUUAUUUCUUGAGUUGAUUGAAGAAUAUGAGCAGGAGGGGGGGUACCUUGGUGUUUCUGUGAAGCAAAUUUGGUAUGACUUGCGGGAUAAAAAAGGUUUUGAGAAGAUUAAGGAGUGGACCUGUAUGAGGAAAGAUUUGUGGAAAGAGUUGGUGUUGGAAGUCAUUAAUGAGAACCUAAAUAUUAUUAUAAAAGAUGUAUUUCAGGUUUUGGUUUGUUCUGGGGGCUUGUUUCAAGAAACCAAUGGUGUAUUGGAGUCAGCUAGAACUGCCGUUAAUGUUGAUAUUAGCCCUGGAGCAGAUUUGGACAACUCUCUCGCGAUUGUCCCUGUUGAGAACUCAGCGUGUAGUGAUAUGUUGGUUGAUGAAGAGAAAUGUGCUACAGAUGAAUUAAUUUCUACUUUGGACAUUAAUGGGUCAGGUAUGAAUAUUUUGGCAGACUCAGAUGUACCCUGCCAUGGUAAAGCAUUGUGUUUGGUAGCUGAGUCUUCGUCUGUUUUACCUUCUAAUCCAGAUGGAAUUUCUAGCACUAAUUCUAUGACCUUCAGUGAAGAUUCUACUGUCAUUUCCAAUAAGAUCAAUGGGAAGCUCAAAUGUUUGACACGCAGAAAAACUGCAAAUUGGCUACCUGUUGGCUCUGAUAUACUUCCUGGAGCUGCAUUCUACCCGGAUGCUGUUACUGAUUAUGCACUUGGGAGUACGAAUAGUGGAAUAUCUAGGAAUUCUUUAAUUAGUAAUCUGCGGCAGCAUCUUUCAUACCUGGGCUGGAAAAUUGAGUCAUGGAGAGAUGGGCACACACUUAGAUUACGGUAUACCUCACCUGAUGGUAAAUUUUAUUAUUCACUUCGUCAGGUCUGUCACUAUAUGAUUGGAUCCACCACAGAGAUGAUUUCUUCAAUCGCAGAUAAUCAGAAAAGUGUGUAUGUUUUACCCGGUGAUCCAUCUUCAACUCUGCUUCUAGAACAAAAAGAAGAAAAUCAGGAUCCUGAUUAUUGUCAUCAAACUGUGAUGUCUUCUGAGUCUGAUGUAUUUAGAGUAAAACCAGAAUUUUGUCCUCAAGCUGUUGUGGACUAUUAUAUGCAUCCACUAGAUAAGAGAUCUAAAAUGUUGAUAGAAAAGGCACGGAAGCACCUCUCGGCAGUGGGGUGGCAGAUGCGGUACUCAUAUACAAGAGGGAAGCCUGAGAUGCGCUACAUUUCGCCAAGAAGAAGGACAUAUUGUACACUUCGAUCAGCAUGCAAAUGUUGUCUGGAUGAAGGAACUCCUGAAAGUGUUGCUUCUGGCUGUGGAUCAAUUCAAAGCACACAUGCAAUUGAGGAAGAUGAAGGACAAUUAGGUAGUGAUAAAUCAUCUUUGGCAGCAAGUAAUGCACCAUCCAGAAGGGGGUCCAGAGAGUCUUCUAGUAUAUCACAGUCAAUCGAAAAAGUUCAGGGGAUAAGAAAAAUUUGUGGAAAUCGAAAGGCUGAUUUUUUUCACCAUGCAUCCCAGUCUCUUCGAACACAACGCAACUUAAAAGCUAUGAAAGAUGGCUCAGCAAUUGGAUUCAUAAGUGAUGAAAAGCUGAAUUCAGAGGAUCAAAAUGCCAGCCUCCCAAAGUUAAAAAGAAGAAAGGUUUCUAGAGCGUUGAUAAAAUUAAGAGAUGAUCUGGAAAGUAGUCGCCUUACCCGUGUGCUGCGAUCAAGCAAAAGAAUACAGAAGGUGGUUCCUCCUAGUACCUCACACCAGACUCGUCGAACUAUACUCUCUUGGUUGAUAGACAACAAUGUGGUAUUGCCAAGGGCAAAAGUAAAUUACUGUAGCAGAAAGAAAAAGAAACUAAUGAAAGAAGGGCGGAUUACUCGUGAUGGGAUAAAGUGCAGCUGUUGUCAAAUGGUGUUUACUCUUCCUGGCUUCGGAAUUCAUGCUGGCAGCAAGUGCCAAAGACCAGCUCUUAGUAUUUUUCUGGAAGAUGGAAGGUCUUUGUUGGAUUGUCAAAUGCAAAUAAUACGUGAUAAUAAGAUGGGGAGCUCCACUGGAGAACUGCCUGAUAGAAUGAAGGGAAAUUGCCAUCAAGGCGAGAAUGAUUACAUUUGUACUGUUUGUCACUAUGGUGGUGAAUUGAUUUUAUGUGAUCAAUGUCCAUCAGCAUUCCAUAAGAUUUGCAUCGGUUUGAAGGAUGUCCCUGAUGGUGACUGGUUCUGCCCAUCGUGCUGCUGUGGAAUUUGUGGGAAAAAGAAAUUUAGAAGCAACAAUGCAGAUCUAGUUGAUGACAGCAUACUCACUUGCAGUCAGUGUGAGCAUAAAUAUCAUGUUGGCUGCUUAAAAAAUAGAGCGGCAGAUAAGUUGGAAAAUUUUCCUGAAGAAAAUUGGUUCUGCUGCAAAAAGUGUGAACAGAUAUUUUUGGGACUCCACAAGAUUUUAGGUAAACCAAUUCCAGUGGGUGUAGACAAUCUCACUUGGACACUAUUAAAGCCUAUGACAUCUGAUAAUCAUGAUAUUGAGGCCUUUACAGAGAAUUACAGCAAACUUAAUAUUGCUCUUGAUGUGAUGCAUGAGUGUUUUGAGCCUGUUAAGGAGUCUCGCACCCGGAGAGAUCUUGUUGAAGACGUUAUUUUUAGUAGAGGGUCAGAGCUUAACCGUUUGAACUUCCGAGGGUUCUAUACAGUGCUUUUGGAGAGAAGUGAUGAAAUGAUUUCUGUGGCUACUGUAAGGAUCCAUGGGGAGAAGGUGGCAGAAAUACCUCUUGUUGGUACCAGGUUUCAAUAUCGUCGACUUGGAAUGUGUCGCAUCUUGAUGAAUGAGCUUGAAAAGAAACUCAUGGAAUUAGGAGUCGAGAGGCUUAUUUUGCCUGCAGUGCCUAGUGUGCUGAACGCAUGGACUACUUCAUUUCUGUUUACAAAGAUGACUGAUUCUGAGAGGUUGCAGUUUUUGGAUUAUACUUUCCUGGAUUUCCGGGAUACUGUCAUGUGCCAGAAACUCCUAACAAAGAUCCCUCCAGCAGAACCAAGCCCAGAAAGAGGAACCCAGAAUAAGACUGUUGGUCUUGUCUGCAGAAAUGGUGAUUUGGAUGUGCCAAGUGUGGUCUCUGAAGUAUAUCAACUGGAGCAGAUUGAUGAGAGCAGAAUCAUGGAACAAGGAUUGGUGGUUCCUGCAGGCACCAAUGGAAAUGGUAGCAAUGGUCCAGUUGAUAUGGUUGUCAAGGUGGACCAACAGGAUUGUCUUAGUGAAGUCAGUCGAGAGCGCUUGCUUGACGAUGACAAUUUUAAUAAAGGAUUCAGAAGAAACAGUAAUACUUUUUUCAAGUGUUACAAGCGGAGGGCAUUAGCCAGCAGAAGUUGAGUUUUGUUCCCUUUGCCCAGACAGCUAAAUUGACUGAUCUAAAUGUAUCAGCGUAUAUAAUGAAAAUAAGAGCAUGGAAGAUUUUUGGUGCAGUUAAUAGAAUUGGUCGAGGACCUCAAAUUUUGGUUUGCAAGAUGCGUAGAUUCUUCCUUGUACAGAAUACAUGAGAAGACUUUGGGUUUCUUGGGUCUCAGGUUAUGCUUCUUUUAAUGUAUAGUUAAGGGAGAUAUAGCAAUAGAGCUCACUUCUAGUUGCACAGAAGGCUGCGCAGUAGAAAUGGGUGGGAUACUGAAGUUGAUGUUCCAGUCUCACAGCUAGUGUAGGUGUACACUCUCUCGUCUGAUAACUCACACACCAUAACAUGUACUAUCUUUUCACCUACUUUCUUUCAUUUGUCCUUUUCAUGCUUUUCUUCGUGCUGAAGAAAUCUGGUAGAAAAAUGCUAUAGAUUUGAAAAGGAGGAAAUCAUCCCACAAAUUCGUGCUAAACUGUUCAACUGUUAACCAUGGUUAAUAAUAUAUAUGUUUACUUUCUUGA